CCAAGGAGUCUAACAUGUGCGCAAGUCGUUCGGUCUUGAAUAGGCCUGAAAGGCGAAAUGAAAGUAAUGGAUACGAUCCUGGUGUCAUGCUCGCAAGGGCGGCCAGGCGCAGUAUCGACCCGCUUGAUCCGCAUACAUUUGUCGGAUAAGCGGAGUUUGAGCGUACACGUUGGUACCCGAAAGAUGGUGAACUAUGCCUGGGCAAGACGAAGCCAGAGGAAACUCUGGUGGAGGUCUGUAGCGAUUCUGACGUGCAAAUCGAUCGUCAGACCUGGGUAUAGGGGCGAAAGACUAAUCGAACCAUC
RNAcentral lists this ribosomal RNA (305 nucleotides) under Scolotydaeus corticicola. RNAcentral's name for it is "eukaryotic LSU rRNA". It matches the Rfam family "Eukaryotic large subunit ribosomal RNA", at positions 666 to 944 of the family's 3401-position model. Lineage: Eukaryota; Metazoa; Arthropoda; Arachnida; Trombidiformes; Paratydeidae. The record is from RNAcentral.